RNAcentral lists this ribosomal RNA (503 nucleotides) under uncultured bacterium. Its description in RNAcentral is "partial 16S ribosomal RNA". It matches the Rfam family "Bacterial small subunit ribosomal RNA", at positions 30 to 523 of the family's 1533-position model. The record is from RNAcentral.
AUUGAACGCUGGCGGCAGGCUUAACACAUGCAAGUCGAGCGGGGUGAUGGUGCUUGCACUAUCACUUAGCGGCGGACGGGUGAGUAAUGCUUAGGAAUCUGCCUAUUAGUGGGGGACAACAUCUCGAAAGGGAUGCUAAUACCGCAUACGUCCUACGGGAGAAAGCAGGGGAUCACUUGUGACCUUGCGCUAAUAGAUGAGCCUAAGUCGGAUUAGCUAGUGGGUGGGGUAAAGGCCUACCAAGGCGACGAUCUGUAGCGGGUCUGAGAGGAUGAGCCGCCACACUGGGACUGGGACACGGCCCAGACUCCUGCGGGAGGCAGCAGUGGGGAAUAUUGGACAAUGGGGGGAACCCUGAUCCAGCCAUGCCGCGUGUGUGAAGAAGGCCUUAUGGUUGUAAAGCACUUUAAGCGAGGAGGAGGCUCUUUUGGUUAAUACCCAAGAUGAGUGGACGUUACUCGCAGAAUAAGCACCGGCUAACUCUGUGCCAGCAGCCGCCGUAA